CACGUAGGGUGCGAGCGUUGUCCGGAAUUAUUGGGCGUAAAGAGCUCGUAGGCGGUGUGUCGCGUCGGCCGUGAAAACUUGCAGCUUAACUGUGGGCGUGCGGUCGAUACGGGCAUCACUGGAGUUCGGCAGGGGAGACUGGAAUUCCUGGUGUAGCGGUGAAAUGCGCAGAUAUCAGGAGGAACACCGGUGGCGAAGGCGGGUCUCUGGGCCGAUACUGACGCUGAGGAGCGAAAGCGUGGGGAGCGAACAG
This 253-nucleotide ribosomal RNA is filed under the name uncultured prokaryote. RNAcentral describes it as "partial 16S ribosomal RNA". It matches the Rfam family "Bacterial small subunit ribosomal RNA", at positions 524 to 775 of the family's 1533-position model. The record is from RNAcentral.